Molecule: long non-coding RNA, 282 nt
Organism: Eriocheir sinensis (Chinese mitten crab)
Lineage: Eukaryota; Metazoa; Arthropoda; Malacostraca; Decapoda; Varunidae
Exons: 3
Source: RefSeq, a predicted model, not a curated record
GUGCCCCCAAGUCAAAUUAAGUUCAAGAAAGGAGCAGUGCCUACACUUGGACUACCCACAUUAACAACUUGUGAGCCACACCCUCCACAGGAAGAACCAGAGCAUCACAUCCAAGAUGCUUUGACUGCACACACUGCUGGAGCUUCAAGUCAACUUAUGACAUGUGAGACAGUCAUUGAGGUUCACCCUCAGCCACACCCUCCACAGGAAGAACUCCUACUAGAGCAUCACAUCCAAGAUGCUUUGACUGCACACACCGCUGGACCUUCAAGUCAACCUAAG